This 144-nucleotide ribosomal RNA is filed under the name uncultured eukaryote. RNAcentral describes it as "partial 18S ribosomal RNA". The record is from RNAcentral.
UGGUGGAGUGAUUUGUCUGGUUAAUUCCGAUAACGAACGAGACUCUGUCCUGCUAAAUAGGCCCGACCUUUUUUCUUUUCAGCUUGUGGUAGCGUUGUUCGGUUUUGGGUUGUGGCUAAGGUUCGCCUUGUCGCGGCUCUUCUC